ACAUACAGCCAUACUACCCUGAACAUAUUGGAUCUCAGAAGCUAAGCAGGGUGGAGCCUAGUUUGUACUUGGAUGGGAGACCACCUGGAAUUCUGGAUGCUGUAGGCU
RNAcentral lists this ribosomal RNA (108 nucleotides) under Castor canadensis (American beaver). Lineage: Eukaryota; Metazoa; Chordata; Mammalia; Rodentia; Castoridae. The record is from RNAcentral.